Molecule: ribosomal RNA, 463 nt
Filed under: uncultured bacterium
Lineage: Bacteria
Description: partial 16S ribosomal RNA
Rfam family: Bacterial small subunit ribosomal RNA
Source: RNAcentral
GACGAACGCUGGCGGCGUGCUUAACACAUGCAAGUCGAACGGAAAGGCCUUUUCGGAGGUACUCGAGUGGCGAACGGGUGAGUAACACGUGGGUGAUCUGCCCUGCACUCUGGGAUAAGCCUGGGAAACUGGGUCUAAUACCGGAUAGGACCGCACUUUAGUGUGUGUGGUGGAAAGUUUUUUCGGUGUAGGAUGAGCCCGCGGCCUAUCAGCUUGUUGGUGGGGUAAUGGCCUACCAAGGCGGCGACGGGUAGCCGGACUGAGAGGUUGGUCGGCCACAUUGGGACUGAGAUACGGCCCAGACUCCUACGGGAGGCAGCAGUGGGGAAUAUUGCACAGUGGGCGCAAGCCUGAUGCAGCGACGCCGCGUGGGGGAUGACGGCCUUCGGGUUGGAAACUCCUUUCGCCAGGGACGAAGCGUUUUGUGACGGUACCUGGAGGAGAAGCACCGGCUAACUACGUG